AGAGUUUGAUCCUGGCUCAGAUUGAACGCUGGCGGCAGGCCUAACACAUGCAAGUCGAACGGUAGCACAGAGAGCUUGCUCUCGGGUGACGAGUGGCGGACGGGUGAGUAAUGUCUGGGAAACUGCCUGAUGGAGGGGGAUAACUACUGGAAACGGUAGCUAAUACCGCAUAACGUCGCAAGACCAAAGAGGGGGACCUUCGGGCCUCUUGCCAUCAGAUGUGCCCAGAUGGGAUUAGCUAGUAGGUGGGGUAACGGCUCACCUAGGCGACGAUCCCUAGCUGGUCUGAGAGGAUGACCAGCCACACUGGAACUGAGACACGGUCCAGACUCCUACGGGAGGCAGCAGUGGGGAAUAUUGCACAAUGGGCGCAAGCCUGAUGCAGCCAUGCCGCGUGUAUGAAGAAGGCCUUCGGGUUGUAAAGUACUUUCAGCGGGGAGGAAGGUGUUGGGUUAAUAACCGCAGCAAUGGACGUACCCGCAGAAGAGCACCG
RNAcentral lists this ribosomal RNA (493 nucleotides) under Pantoea agglomerans. RNAcentral describes it as "bacterial SSU rRNA". It matches the Rfam family "Bacterial small subunit ribosomal RNA", at positions 8 to 495 of the family's 1533-position model. The record is from RNAcentral. Lineage: Bacteria; Pseudomonadati; Pseudomonadota; Gammaproteobacteria; Enterobacterales; Erwiniaceae.